RNAcentral lists this ribosomal RNA (731 nucleotides) under Burkholderia multivorans. RNAcentral's name for it is "bacterial LSU rRNA". It matches the Rfam family "Bacterial large subunit ribosomal RNA", at positions 1 to 686 of the family's 2925-position model. The record is from RNAcentral. Lineage: Bacteria; Pseudomonadati; Pseudomonadota; Betaproteobacteria; Burkholderiales; Burkholderiaceae.
UGUGAGUGUGUAAGAGCGCAUGGUGGAUGCCUUGGCAUCAGGAGCCGAUGAAGGACGUGGAAAUCUGCGAUAAGCCUCGGGGAGCCGAUAAACGGGCUGUGAUCCGAGGAUGUCCGAAUGGGGGAACCCCGCCGCAUGCGAGUGCGGUGACCCGCACCUGAAUAUAUAGGGUGUGUGGAGGGAACGCGGGGAAGUGAAACAUCUCAGUACCCGUAGGAAGAGAAAAUAAGAAUGAUUCCGGGAGUAGUGGCGAGCGAAACUGGAUGAGCCUAAACCGUGUGCGUGUCAAGCGUGCUGGUGUUGCGUACAUGGUGUUGUGGGGUGUGUGUGUUCGGUUCAGCAUGACCGAGACGCUGAUGAGUGCUUACGUGUAGUCGAAGCUGGUGGGAAACAGUACCGGAGUGGGUGAGAGUCCCGUAGACGAAACGCGUGGCCCCGGUGUGACACGUGUCCCCGAGUAGCACGGAACUCGUGGAAUUCCGUGUGAAUCUGCCAGGACCACCUGGUAAGGCUAAAUACUUCCUGAUGACCGAUAGCGGAUCAGUACCGUGAGGGAAUGGUGAAAAGUACCCCGGGAGGGGAGUGAAAGAGUACCUGAAACCAUGUGCUUACAAUCCGUCAGAGCACCCGUGUUGGUGUGAUGGCGUGCCUUUUGAAGAAUGAGCCUGCGAGUUAGCGGUGCGUGGCGAGGUUAACCCGAUGAAGGGUAGCCGUAGCGAAAGCGAGUCCGA